Long non-coding RNA from Bos taurus (domestic cattle), 1862 nucleotides. The record is from Ensembl. Lineage: Eukaryota; Metazoa; Chordata; Mammalia; Artiodactyla; Bovidae.
ACCUGGAGGAGCCUGAGGGCCCAGGAGGAAAUCAAGAUGGCCGCACGAGGCGAGCGGAGGGACGCAGACGAGCAAUGCCAGAAGUCCACCACCGGCUUCUCACGUAUCAGAUAUAACAGCUAUUUAACUGGCACAUCUACACAGCCGUUCCUGACAGGAAGUGCAUUAAGACAGUGGAUGUAACUGAAGCUGCAGAUUUGGAGAGACAGCAUCCCAAAUGACCAACUGGGCAUGUGGCCAGAAUAUUGCAGAUCACUUGACAAUUGGAUGGCUUAUAACCAUACUGGAGUGAUGAGCAUUUUCGGAGCAGGUGUUAUGCAAAGGGCUGGAGCACAGAAGGAAUGAAGCUGUCUUUCAACAUUUUUACCUCAAGGGAAAUCAUACAGAACGAAUGGCAGAGACAGAUACCGAGCCAACAGAUGACAAGAGGACUAGCUCCAUUCUCUGGAAAAUACGAUGAUAAGAAACAGAUUUCAGCUGUUCCUUAAGUUUUCCCUCUACUGGACAACAAAGCUGCCAAGGAAUGAGGAUACGCAGAUUAGGACACACACGUAACCCCUCCACCUGCAGUGCGUCCUGACAAGUCAGUGUGGCUUUGAUUCAAGUACGGGAGACCUACCUGGGAAGCGAGAUCGUCUUCUUAUGUGAAACACUGUAUUCCGUAGAAGAAUCAAGUAAAGCAGCAUUCUUCAGCUGCCAUGGGCCAGAAUUGAAAGUAUCACACUAAAUUUGUGAGAAUGGACAGAACGGUAAAUGGAAAUAUAUAAAGAAGCGAUUUGCACUGGGACCUAAUCAAGACAACAAGAUCGAAGGUGGUGAAAAAACUGUUACUGUGAAACAAAAAACUCUCCAGCUGUUGGGUGACUUCAUGAAGGGACUCUCUUGUCCAACUGUAGAGUCCAAAGAUGUUUGAUGAAUUUGGGCUUGAUUCCAGCAGGUAUGGCUAUCCAAGGAGACUCAGUCUGCAGAAUGGAAAUACAGCCAAAGGAGUCCAUAGGCAUCAGCCUAGACUAGAAGUCAAGAGACGGAUGGAGCUGUGGUUUUAAAUGAUAUAUAGCAGAACCUCCUUGAGUAGCGAGAGAGUCCAGGUAACAGAGCUCAGCCUCCAUGGAUAAGCCUGUCAAAGUUAGGCAGAAUGUCAGGGCCCCAGCCAAGUGGGCUUGGGUGCAGGGAAAAGCUCUACAUCCAGAUGGAGUCUGAAGUGAUGAGAGAAAACCAAAACAGAUGUCUGGAUAUAUACAUAGAUUUAACCAACACAAGUGGGCUAAGGGGAAACUAUUCAUUCAGUAAGCAAACUGUGGGGGAAACAGGAAGCACGUGGACCCCAGGUCCUCUCCUCUUGCGAAGGGUGCAGAUGUAUUUUCUGCCAUGGUGAGAAUCAUUUCAGGCUUUGGUUGAGGUUUGAACUCGAAUGAAAGGGGCAUUUGUGAUUAUUGUUGAGUGGCACUAAAAAGACAUGAACUGAGCAAUUUAAAAAUAGUGCCAUGGCUUGGUAUAUAUAUAUUUUUAAAUGCAUAUAUGGGAUUCUUCCCAGGUGGCUCAGUGGUACAGAAUCAGCCUGUGAAUGCAGGAGAUGUGGGUUCGAUCCCUGGGUCCAGAAGAUCCCCAGGAGGAGGAAAUGGCAACCCACUCCAGUAUUCUUGCCUGGAGAAUUCCAUAGACCGAGGCGCCUGACAGGCUAUGGUCCAUGGGGUCACAAAAAAGUUGGACAUGGCUUAGUGACUAAACAACAACAACAACAUGGGAUUGUUGGGGAAAUUAUUUAUUAUGGUUUUAAUGUAUAGGCCCAAUAUAUUGGUGAAGUUUAAUUUAACUAUGAGUACAUUUUGACCUGAUCUUUAGGGUAAAUUUUGUAUUAAAAC